GGGGCUUUAGCUCAGUGGUAGAGUGCUUGCCUAGCUUGCAAGAGGCACUUGGUUCAAUCCUCAGCACCA
Molecule: transfer RNA, 69 nt
Filed under: Marmota monax (woodchuck)
Lineage: Eukaryota; Metazoa; Chordata; Mammalia; Rodentia; Sciuridae
Description: tRNA.Ala
Source: RNAcentral